CCCGGGCCUUGUACACACCGCCCGUCACACCACGAAAGCUGCCCGUACCAGAAGUCGGUGACCUAACCUUCGGGAAGGAGCCGCCCAAGGUUCUGGCAGUGAUUGGGGUG
This 110-nucleotide ribosomal RNA is filed under the name uncultured bacterium. RNAcentral's name for it is "partial 16S ribosomal RNA". It matches the Rfam family "Bacterial small subunit ribosomal RNA", at positions 1373 to 1482 of the family's 1533-position model. The record is from RNAcentral.